RNAcentral lists this ribosomal RNA (492 nucleotides) under uncultured bacterium. RNAcentral's name for it is "partial 16S ribosomal RNA". It matches the Rfam family "Bacterial small subunit ribosomal RNA", at positions 29 to 507 of the family's 1533-position model. The record is from RNAcentral.
AGUGAACGCUGGCGGUAGGCCUAACACAUGCAAGUCGAACGGCAGCACAGUAAGAGCUUGCUCUUACGGGUGGCGAGUGGCGGACGGGUGAGGAAUACAUCGGAAUCUACUUUUUCGUGGGGGAUAACGUAGGGAAACUUACGCUAAUACCGCAUACGACCUACGGUUGAAAGCAGGGGAUCUUCGGACCUUGCGCGAUUGAAUGAGCCGAUGUCGGAGUAGCUAGUUGGCGGGGUAAAGGCCCACCAAGGCGACGAUCCGUAGCUGGUCUGAGAGGAUGAUCAGCCACACUGGAACUGAGACACGGUCCAGACUCCUACGGGAGGCAGCAGUGGGGAAUAUUGGACAAUGGGCGCAAGCCUGAUCCAGCCAUACCGCGUGGGUGAAGAAGGCCUUCGGGUUGUAAAGCCCUUUUGUUGGGAAAGAAAAGCAGCAGGUUAAUACCCCGCUGUUCUGACGGUACCCAAAGAAUAAGCACCGGCUAACUUCGUG